Cinara cedri is the source of this 470-nucleotide non-coding RNA. The record is from the annotation of a GenBank genome assembly. Lineage: Eukaryota; Metazoa; Arthropoda; Insecta; Hemiptera; Aphididae.
GGCGUAUGUAACGGGCCAGACCGAAGAAAAACCGCGAAACGAUAAUGUUAUCACAGCGACUUAAUUACGCAUAUAAUACGAGUGCACCACUGUAUAUUAUACGACCCCUCGACCCCGCAGCCUGGGCGUUAAGACGACGACGACGACCUCUGAAAAUAUGCGUUUUUUCGUUUUUUUUUUUUCUUAUUAAUUUUCCCGUUGCACAGUUUAAUAUCACGUUUGUGUACGUUAUGUGCGGCCGUAUAUUAUGCCGGCGUAUUCUUAUGUGUUAUUAUUUCCGUAAGCGUUUCAUUCGGAGUUUCGUUUUACUUUUAGAUUCUGCGGUAGAACGAGUAAUGCGUAUUGGUUUUACAAUGAUGUUUAUUUUUUUUCUUCUGUGGACAACUUUUCUACCAGCAAUUUCGGUACGAUUUUCAGUUUUUCCGAAAAGAAAUCCGACCGGAGUGAUACUUAAAGAAUAUAAUUUUUUU